GGAUGCAGCAUCGGUAUCAGGAAUGGCGAGUGAACCUUUCUAUUUUUACUUGACGACAGAAGGAAAAAAACAAUGUAAAGAAACGAAAUAUCUAGAGAGGACUGUGCAAUCCUUAAUCAAGAUGGAAGAAAUAAAAGCCAUGGCAGGCGACGUCUUUGAAUCCAUUACAACCACUGUAACACACAGAGACAUUGACUCUCUCUACAACAAGAUAAAG
This is a long non-coding RNA of Saccostrea cuccullata (small rock oyster), 217 nucleotides long. RefSeq lists it as uncharacterized. The record is from RefSeq and is a predicted model, not a curated record. NCBI's taxonomy places the organism in Eukaryota, Metazoa, Mollusca, Bivalvia, Ostreida, Ostreidae. The transcript is spliced from 3 exons.